GCAAACUUGGUCAUUUAGAGGAAGUAAAAGUCGUAACAAGGUUUCCGUAGGUGAACCUGCGGAAGGAUCAUUACUGAGUUAGGGUUUCAUUUUUGAGCCCGAACCUCCAACCCUUUGUUUACUUGACCUUUUUUGUUGCUUCGGCAGGCCGGUGUUUCGACACCGCCGGGGGUGGUAACCCCCCUGGAGAGUGCCUGUCGAUGGCCCAAUUUUAAUCUCUGAUGAACUGUGUCGUCUGAGUUUUAUUUUAAAAACAAGCAAAACUUUCAACAACGGAUCUCUUGGUUCUGGCAUCGAUGAAGAACGCAGC
This 310-nucleotide unclassified non-coding RNA is filed under the name uncultured fungus. Its description in RNAcentral is "partial contains small subunit ribosomal RNA, internal transcribed spacer 1, and 5.8S ribosomal RNA". The stretch from base 1 to 73 matches the Rfam family "Eukaryotic small subunit ribosomal RNA", at positions 1759 to 1831 of the family's 1831-position model. Lineage: Eukaryota; Fungi. The record is from RNAcentral.